UGAACGCUGGCGGCGUGCUCAACACAUGCAAGUCGAACGAGAAAGCUCCUUCUGGGAGUGAGUACAGUGGCGAACGGGUGCGUAACACGUUGGUGACCUGCCUUGAGGAGGGGGACAACCGUGGGAAACCACGGCUAAUACCCCGGAUGUCUAAACUGUUAGAGGGUUUAGACUAAAACUUCGGUGCCUUGGGAGGGGCCUGCGGGCUAUCAGCUAGUUGGUGAGGUAAAGGCUCACCAAGGCGAAGACGGCUAGGGGGCGUGAGAGCGCGAACCCCCACAAUGGAACUGAGACACGGUCCAUACUCCUACGGGAGGCAGCAGUGAGGAAUAUUGCCCAAUGGGGGAAACCCUGACGCAGCAACGCCGCGUGACCGAUUGAAGCUUUUAGGAGUGUAAAGGUCUGUCGUGAAGGAAGAAAUGAUCCGAGAAUAAUAAGUUCGGAUCUUGACGGUACUUCACAAGCAAGCUCCGGCUAACUUCGUGCCAGCAGCCGCGGUAAUACGAGGGGAGCAAGCGUUGUCCGAAAUAACUGGGCGUAAAGGGUACGUAGGCCUUUUUACAAGUUUUCGGUGAAAGUCAUAGGCUCAACUUAUGAAAUGCCGGAAAAACUGUAGAAAUUGAAUUCGGAAGGGGAAAGCGGAAUUCCUGGUGUAGCGGUGAAAUGCGUAGAUAUCAGGAGGAACACCAGUGGCGAAGGCGGCUUUCUGGUCCGAAAUUGACGCUGAGGUACUAAAGCGUGGGUAGCAAACAGGAUUAGAUACCCUGGUAGUCCACGCCCUAAACGAUGGAUACUUGGUGUCGGGAUGUUCGAUCGUCUCGGUGCCGUAGCUAACGUGUUAAGUAUCCCGCCUGGGGACUACGGUCGCAAGACUGAAACUCAAAGGAAUUGACGGGGGCCCGCACCAGCGGUGGAACAUGUGGUUUAAUUCGAUGCAACGCGAAGAACCUUACCUGGGCUUGACAUAUGUAUGAAGCAUGUAAGAAAUUAUGUGUUCUAUUUACUUUUGUAGAUAGCAUAUAUACAGGUGAUGCAUGGCUGUCGUCAGCUCGUGUCGUGAGAUGUAGGGUUAAGUCCCUUAACGAGCGCAACCCUUACUUUUAGUUGCCAUCAGGUAAUGCUGGGGACUCUAGAAGGACUGCCGAGGUUAACUCGGAGGAAGGUGGGGAUGACGUCAAGUCAGUAUGUCCCUUAUGUCCAGGGCUACACACGUGUUGCAAUGGACGGUACAGAGUGCAGCUACGCCGUGAGGCUACGCAAAUCACUUAAAGCCGUUCCCAGUUCGGAUUGGAGUCUGCAAUUCGACUCCAUGAAGUUGGAAUCGCUAGUAAUCGCAGAACAGCAUGCUGCGGUGAUACGUUCCCGGGCGUUGUACACACCGCCCGUCACGCCAUGGAAGUUGGGAGUACCCAAAG
RNAcentral lists this ribosomal RNA (1415 nucleotides) under uncultured prokaryote. RNAcentral describes it as "partial 16S ribosomal RNA". It matches the Rfam family "Bacterial small subunit ribosomal RNA". The record is from RNAcentral.